UGAACUUGAAACCCGAAUGGACCAGGUC
This 28-nucleotide non-coding RNA is filed under the name Mus musculus (house mouse). The record is from RNAcentral. Lineage: Eukaryota; Metazoa; Chordata; Mammalia; Rodentia; Muridae.